This 278-nucleotide microRNA precursor is filed under the name Medicago truncatula (barrel medic). RNAcentral's name for it is "MIR2655 microRNA precursor family". It matches the Rfam family "MIR2655 microRNA precursor family". The record is from Rfam by way of RNAcentral. Lineage: Eukaryota; Viridiplantae; Streptophyta; Magnoliopsida; Fabales; Fabaceae.
CCCCUAACUAUUAAAAGUUUCGUUUUGGUCCCUUAACUUAUUUUUUGGUUUCGUUUUGGUCCCUUAACUCUUCCUCCGUCAACCACUUUGGUCCUUUAUGUUAGGAUGAAUGUAUUAGAGUUAAGGACCAAAACGAAAUCAAAAAAUAAGUUAAGUGACCAAAACGAAACCAAAAAAUAAGUUAAGGGACCAAAACGAAACUUUUAAUAGUUAAGGGAUCAAAACAAAACCAAAAAAUAAGUUAAGGGACCAAAACGAAACUUUUAAUAAUUAAGGGA